AAAGAAUGUUGGAUUUUUCUAAACUCUUCAUAAACAUUUCGCUAUCAUCACUAGUUCUCCACAAACCUACAUAUCCUAAUCUAUCGAUGAACACGAAAAAUUGCUCGAAAUAAAGUAGGCAAAAGGAGUAAAAACAUCACCAGAUGGAAAUUCGAUGCAGUUGAGUUGGUUUUGUCUUAAAACAUCUUGAAGAGCAGACCACCGUGGGUGGCGAAGAAAGGAGCGAAAACGAGUGACUCCACAGCCAUCAGCUUGAUAAGAAUGUUCAAUGAUGGUCCAGAUGUAUCCUUGAGGGGGUCACCAACAGUGUCACCAAUGACAGCAGCCUUGUGUGGAUCGGAUCCCUUGGGACCAAGAGUUUUCGCGUGUUCUGAAGUUCCAGCCUCGAUGUACUUCUUGGCGUUGUCCCAAGCACCACCGGUGUUUGAUGCAGAAAUGGCAAUCUGUACACCAGAGACGAGAGAUCCUGCAAGAACACCAGAAAGUGUUUCGACGCCAAACAAGAUACCAACAAUCAAUGGAGUGAGCAUGACGAGGGCACCAGGUGGAAUCAUCUCCUUGAUCGAUGCAUCUGUGGAGAUCUUGACACAGGUGGCAUAGUCAGGCUUGGCAGUUCCUUCCAUGAGACCAGGGAUGGUGUUGAAUUGC
Molecule: unclassified non-coding RNA, 648 nt
Filed under: Hevea brasiliensis (rubber tree)
Lineage: Eukaryota; Viridiplantae; Streptophyta; Magnoliopsida; Malpighiales; Euphorbiaceae
Source: RNAcentral